CGCACGCAGGCGGUCUGUCAAGUCGGAUGUGAAAUCCCCGGGCUCAACCUGGGAACUGCAUUCGAAACUGGCAGGCUUGAGUCUUGUAGAGGGGGGUAGAAUUCCAGGUGUAGCGGUGAAAUGCGUAGAGAUCUGGAGGAAUACCGGUGGCGAAGGCGGCCCCCUGGACAAAGACUGACGCUCAGGUGCGAAAGCGUGGGGAGCAAACAGGAUUAGAUACCCUGGUAGUCCACGCCGUAAACGAUGUCUACUUGGAGGUUGUGCCCUUGAGGCGUGGCUUCCGGAGCUAACGCGUUAAGUAGACCGCCUGGGGAGUACGGCCGCAAGGUUAAAACUCAAAUGAAUUGACGGGGGCCCGCACAAGCGGUGGAGCAUGUGGUUUAAUUCGAUGCAACGCGAAGAACCUU
This 407-nucleotide ribosomal RNA is filed under the name Salmonella enterica subsp. enterica. RNAcentral's name for it is "bacterial SSU rRNA". It matches the Rfam family "Bacterial small subunit ribosomal RNA", at positions 566 to 972 of the family's 1533-position model. Lineage: Bacteria; Pseudomonadati; Pseudomonadota; Gammaproteobacteria; Enterobacterales; Enterobacteriaceae. The record is from RNAcentral.